UCAGCCAAUCAGCGGUGUCGCCUCCGCGCUCCGCGCCUCUGAUUGGCUGACAUCGCCCAGAGUCCCGCCUCCUUGCCGUUGACAGACAGCGGCAGCUGAGGGGGCGGGGAAAGAGGCGUGGCUUAGUACUUUCUCCGCCUUAUGAUUGGCUGAAGACGUAGUUGGGGUGGGUUUAUCGUGGCUCCGCCCCCCGCUCCCCUGAGGGAAAAAGGCGGGAAAGGGCCGGAGGCCCUGAGGGGGUUUUCCCGCCUUUUCCACUUUUCCCUUUUCCUGAAGGGAAAAGCGGCCGCCGUGAGGUGAAUUUACCCUUCUUUGCCCAGGAUGCCCAGGAGACGCUGUGCCCUCACGCUCUGAGUACAGAUUCCCUUUCUCCCACCCUUUAUUUUUUUUAACCAAGGAUUUUUCGCCAUUUUUAACCCAAAAUUUCUCCACCUGCACCGAGGGGAACCCGACGCCUUCUUCGCCCUCCCGGGGAAACCCUGAUGAAGGAAUUCCUCCCGACCGACGUUUGCUGCGGGGUCUCCAGCGAGGACCUGCUGGCCAUGGCACUGAUGAGCUUCGAGUGUGUGGGGCUACAACCCCCUCAACCUCUUCACUGCCCUGUGAGUACCUUAAUUAGGG
Long non-coding RNA from Lepidothrix coronata (blue-crowned manakin), 621 nucleotides. RefSeq lists it as uncharacterized. The transcript is spliced from 4 exons. NCBI's taxonomy places the organism in Eukaryota, Metazoa, Chordata, Aves, Passeriformes, Pipridae. The record is from RefSeq and is a predicted model, not a curated record.